GAGACAGCAGCAGCCGCGGUAAUACGUAGGGUGCAAGCGUUAAUCGGAAUUACUGGGCGUAAAGCGUGCGCAGGCGGUUUUGUAAGACAGAGGUGAAAUCCCCGGGCUCAACCUGGGAACUGCCUUUGUGACUGCAAGGCUAGAGUACGGCAGAGGGGGAUGGAAUUCCGCGUGUAGCAGUGAAAUGCGUAGAUAUGCGGAGGAACACCGAUGGCGAAGGCAAUCCCCUGGGCCUGUACUGACGCUCAUGCACGAAAGCGUGGGGAGCAAACAGGAUUAGAUACCCCGGUAGUCCCUGUCUCUUAUAC
This 308-nucleotide ribosomal RNA is filed under the name uncultured bacterium. RNAcentral describes it as "partial 16S ribosomal RNA". It matches the Rfam family "Bacterial small subunit ribosomal RNA", at positions 505 to 807 of the family's 1533-position model. The record is from RNAcentral.